Long non-coding RNA from Zingiber officinale, 177 nucleotides. RefSeq lists it as uncharacterized. The transcript has 3 exons. The record is from RefSeq and is a predicted model, not a curated record. Lineage: Eukaryota; Viridiplantae; Streptophyta; Magnoliopsida; Zingiberales; Zingiberaceae.
GCCACGUCCGGCAGUGACUCGACAGUUCGGGCAUUUAUGUUUGGGGCUUUUGGAAUUUGCGGUGGCGAUUUUGCUUCGGCUAAGGACCUCAAGGAAGAGGUUUCUAAGGACAUUGAUUUGGGAUGAGCACUUUGACGCAGAGGUUGUCUAGCUCGAUCUACAUUUGAGGCGGGUACC